GCAAACUUGGUCAUUUAGAGGAAGUAAAAGUCGUAACAAGGUUUCCGUAGGUAAGUAAUCGUCGCUUAAGGGCCCCCUCUUUCCACGCUUUAAAGGACGUGCUAACCCUCCGAUCUUAGGUGAACCUGCGGAAGGAUCAUUACCGAGCGUAGCCCCCCGUAAAAAAGGGGGCACCUCCCGUCCUUUGCAGGCCUCUUUGGGGCUUUACGAUCUUCUGCUUCGGCGGGGUCUCCCGCCGGAACACACUCAAUAAACUCUGGUUUUAAACCGUUCAGUCCGAGACCUAUUUAAAAAGCGGAAAACUUUCAACAACGGAUCUCUUGGUUCUGGCAUCGAUGAAGAACGCAGC
This 349-nucleotide unclassified non-coding RNA is filed under the name uncultured fungus. Its description in RNAcentral is "partial contains small subunit ribosomal RNA, internal transcribed spacer 1, and 5.8S ribosomal RNA". The stretch from base 1 to 142 matches the Rfam family "Eukaryotic small subunit ribosomal RNA", at positions 1759 to 1831 of the family's 1831-position model. Lineage: Eukaryota; Fungi. The record is from RNAcentral.